UGCUAUAUUACCAAGAAAAUAAAUUACCCUUACAGAAAAUACUAAUUUCAAGUCAUAAAAAAAAUGUUUAUAUUCAGAACCUUUCCUGAAUAAAAACUAACAAUGAAAUACAGUUUAUACCUAAAUAAACUGUUUUGUUAAUUAUAAUUUCCCGACCUUUAGGAAAUUAUCCCUUAAUUGCCAAAUGUUUUCCUAUAUAAUGCUAUUUAUUUGAAAAAGACAAACGUUAACAGUAAACGUGAACUACAAUUUUAAAUUUAAAUGUACAAUAACAUUAAUCCUAACUUUAAAAGAUAACUUGAAAUAAAGCUUUGCCAGCAAUAAUACGAUAAUUAACCCAAAAGAUAUUUUAAAACAGUUUUAAGAACUUUCCUAAAUUUACUAAAAGAAUAAAAUACUUUAAGCAAAAGAUCAAAAAUGUAGGAGUCCGGCUCCUAAGAGUCCGCUAAAAAUGAAAUAUUCCUUUCUAAAUUAGAAAACGCUAAAUUUACUAUUUUCCUUUACAAUUUAACCCCAAAAAAAAUGAAGUUUGUGAGAAAAAUUAACCAUUUUGACAAAAAUUACUGAUGAGCAAAAUAAAAUACUAACUGUAACGACCAAAGAUUUAAGCAGAACUGACGAACAAGCGUCGAAAUUACGUCAAUGUUGGAUUGUUGGCAAAGUUGGAAAAUUGUUGGAUCGCGCGCUUGCUGUCCAACGAAAUAUUUGAAUUCUCAAAUAAAUUACAAAAAUCAUGAUAAUAUACAAUUUUAGUAACAGUCAUAUAAUAAACAAAUUUUGCAUGGUACUAAACAAAUUUCUAUAGUAGCUAAAAAUACACCAAUAAAACUUCACCGGAAGUCACAAUACGUAAACAACAUUGCCAAAAGUUAUGUGUGUCACCGGCUAACCAAAAUGACAAAUAUCAAGGAUAGUGAGCAUUAACAUCUGCAAAACAUUGAAGACGUUGACUACAAAUACUAAAAGGAAUUACAAAGAGUAUUUGAAAACAGUUGCCGAAACGUAAAAAUAGUGUUUUUAUUGAAAAAUCGUCCCAAGUGACACAUGGGUUCCACUGCGCAUGUCAGUACAUUUCAUUCAUAAAAUUCAAGCAAGGUGCGUGGAUUUACUACGAGAUUUACUACGAUCUACUACAGUUGCUACAAUUGGAUCAUCACAAAAAUACAAGACAUUCAGUGGAUUAUUACUAUGAACUGAUACACCAGAAGGUUCACCAUUAUGACCAUCAGCACGAGGGCAGUAGAUACCAGACAGACAUAUAUAUAUAUAUAUACCAAAUGUGGAAAAUUACUGAACAUUACGAACAAUGUGGAACAUGGCUAAGAACCAGAGGUUUUCUGAAGGAGAAUUUAGUUACCAUGCAAACAGUACCAAAAUAUUUAAAUAUAAGUUUAAAAAUACACCCAAAAAUAACUUUUAAUUCUCGAAAGCUUUGACUAUAUCUAAUAUAAAUAACUUAUAAACUUUUCAUGAAUUUCAAAGAUAAAUUUUCAGUCUAAGUAACUUCAAAUAACUUUUUAUCUUAACCUUAAAUUACUUUUGAUGUUAACAACUCUAAUAAACAAUACCUUAAAUUUCCAUUAAAAAUAUAAAAUUACAUCUUUAUUCAAUAUAUAAUUAAUUGUCAUUAACUACUAGGGACUUCUUCUGUUUCUUUUGUGUUCCUGUAGCUGUGGUAGGAGGUGGUUCUGGUACAAGUUCUUUUUCUUUACUAGUCAAAUGUCUAAUUAUUUCUUCUUUGGAUACCCCCUUUCCAGACACUAAAUGUGAGUCAUGAAAUUUCAGUCUUCUCAUUGCAUUUUGGUUAUUCAAUUCAAGUGUGUCUUCACUUUCUAUUAACAUCUUUGGUUCAUGUUCAACAACUUCUGCUGAACCAAUUACUGUAUCUUGAUACAAAGUGUUUUUGUAAUCAUAUGUGUCCAUUAUGCUAGUUUUACACGUAACAUCUUGGCUUAUGUUAACUAAACAUGGUGCCAUUACUAAUGAAAAUCUUUCUAAAAAAUUCUCAGAGGGUUCUAAAAUACAAUCUUGAACUGUUUCAGGAGAAUCAUCAUCAAGUCGGUCAACAAAAACAUCAACACAAAUUUCUGACCUUGGGGGAAUUUCAUAGUUAGCUUCUCCAUAAAUUUUUCGAAUAAAUUUAUUUGUUUGGCCAAUUUGGGUACAAUGGAUAGCAUGACCACCAAGCAGUAUAAUUCCAUCUGUUAACUUUAUGUCAGCAGGACCCCACUGAGAUUUCAUUAAAACAUCCAGUCCUAACAAAGCUUCAUCUUCUAUAUUUGCUACUAUCAUUUCUGUACUAAAACAUAAAUUUCCUAAUUGAAUUUCAAAAAUAGCUUUCCCUAGCUCCUUUAAGGGUUUGCCAUCAGCACAAGCUAAAGUAUUAGACUUUUCCAAGAUUGGUCUAUUAACAUGAGGAAUUUUAUUAAAGGCAUACACGGAUAACACUGUCCGAACUGCCCCUGUAUCUACAGUAAAAUUAACCUCAGACCCUUGGAUAUGUCCUUCAACAUAAACUCCAUCACUUCGGAGUACUUGUCUUGCAAUUACAUUACUUGCAAUUGAUGGUUCACUACCUAAAAUUGGUGUAGAACAAACUAAAUUUUUAUCUUCUAAAGUGACAGAAGAUGUAUUACUAUUACAGGUAUCUCCCUGUUUUACUAUAUUUUCACUAUUACUCACAUUUUCCUUAUUACUUUUACUAUUACUAAUAUUUCCUUCAUUACUAUUAGUAAUAUUUCCGCUAUUACUAAUAUUUUCUUCUUUACUAUUACUAUUACUAAUAUUUCCACUAUUACUAAUAUUUUCCUCUUUACUAUUACUAUUAUUUCCACUAAUAAUAAUAUUUUCCUCAUUACUAUUACUAAUAUUUUCCUUAUUACUUUUGCUAAUAUUCUCCUCAAUACUAUUACUAUUACUAAUAUUUUCCUCACUUUUACUAUUACAUAAAGUUAUACUGCUUAUUGGUUCAUGUACACCAAUAUUGUCCAAUUUAUGACCAUUUUCAUUAAACUUAAGGGCUAACUUCUGGUCAGCUGAGUUAACCCGUUCUAGUUUAAUGUAUAUCCAUCUGAUUUAAAUUCACCUUGUGACGGACUAGUAUUACUGUUGGGGGGAGUGUAAGGCAUAUUCAUCUGUCUUGGAGGAGUAGCCUUAUUAUUUCUAUAAUCUGGUUGCCUAUUGGGAUUACUAUAGCAUUUUCUGGCAUAAUGACCUGGUUGACCACAAUAAUAACAUUUUGGGAUAGUUUCUGGGUUAGCAUUUCUGUCUGAAUUAUUCUUUCUAAAAUUCCCAUUUGGAACAUAGGAUGGUGCAUUGACAUUGAAGGGCUGUCUGUCAAACUGUCUUUCAUCAUGAUAAUUGUGUCCUGUUACUGAUGUAUGUGUAUCAUCAUUUCUUUUCUUGUCCUGGUACAUUUGGUCAAACAUUUUCUGUAAUUCAUCUUUGGUUAUCGAAAUUACAUCUUUUUGUGUAUUUGUAGAACCUUGUUUGUUGAAAUUGGUGUUCUGUUUCUUUAGUUGCCUUACUUUGGUAUUUUUUUCUGAAUUACCCUCCUGUGUUUCUGAAGUUGUCUCCUUAUAGAUAAUAACCUCCUGUACUGCUUCCUCAAUAGUUUUGGGGUCUUUUGUCAGUUCAAUAUGAAUUCUUGCUUCAUUAUCUGACAAUCCCAUUAAGAAUCUUUGAAGCAGGUCUUCCUGCCUAAUUUUAGCAUGUCUGUUUGAAUAAGCCUUGUCAUAUAUGCGUUUUAAUUCCGCAGCAUAGUCUGCAGUGUCUUCAUUUGAUUUUUGAAUACGUCUGUUAAAUUGUACUUUAUAUGUUCUUUUAUUUUCAAAGACUCCAAAUCUAUUUUUAAGUUCUGUUGCUAAUUUUGAGUAAUUCUUUAAUGUUUUACUAUUUAAUUGGUCAAACACAAAAUCACCAGCUUCCCCUUGAAGUCUGGUUAACAAUUCACUCAAUUUAGUUUUAUUAUCCCAAUUUUGUAGAUUUGCUACUGCUUCAAACCUAUUAAUCCAGACUUCCCAUUUUUCUUUUCCUUUGAAGGAUGGGAGUUUAGCAUUGGAAAACCCAAUUUUCGAUUUUGAUCGUUUACUUUGGGUUAUAACAUCUGUGUCAAUACUAUUAGUAUCCAUAUCAGAGCAUGCAUCACUAAAUAUUUCAUCAUCAGUUUCAUCAUACUCAGAUGCUGAUGUAAAAUCUAAAUUACUAUUAGAUGUAAAACUUGGUUUACUUUUUCUAACUUUAGAAAUUGAAUUACUAUUAUUAGCAAUUGUUAUACUUUUAGCAUGUUUUUGUUGCUCACUUGAAGCAUUAGUAUGCCUAUAUUGUUUUGUAAUGCCAGUAAAAGCAUUUUGAAUGGCUGAUACUACUUGACCAGUCAUAUCUUGUAUAGCUACUUUAAUAAUAUCAUAUAUCCCAGAAUCACCUUGGUUUUGAGGUUCUGACUUAUUUUCUAGAUCAUUUUGCUUUCUAUAUCUGGAGGACCUUCUUGGAGAGCCAGGUUUUCUAGGACUUGGUCUCUUACUUAAUUUGGAUCUGGGUCUUAAAAUUAUUGUUUCUUCUUCUUCCUCAGUCUCUAUGUCAGACAAGUCAUGAGAAGCUUCAUAAACUUGAUCACUUCCAGAAUGACAUGUUUCGUCAUCAGUGGUGUGGAGAGUAUGGAUUUCACUGUCCUGUGUUUCUGAUUCUAAUUGGCUACUAUGUCCUCUAUUAUAUGUGUCAGUCUUUCUUGAUCGAACAGACCUUGGUUUACCCAUUUCACUGAUAAUCUAUUACACUUCAAAAGGUUCGUAUCACAGGAUCCAAUAAAGUUUAAUGAAUCCCACCGUGGAUGCCAAAAUUAUGUAGCGGACAGGGGCUUGAAAUGCUUGACCCAAAAGUUUUACUCAAAAUUAUGAGUAGUUUGUAAAUUGCUAAGUCAGUAUGACAAGAUAUGAUCUGGUCAGUAUAAUAUAGGCAUUUGUUAAAAGUAACAUAAAUAAGUUUCUAUAUUUUAUUCAUUUCAAGACUCAGAUAUUUUCAUUGAUAUUCAAGAUAAACAACAACAAUUUUAAGUAGUAAGAUACUUAAAUUAUAGACUUUUAGAUUAUAUAUGACAAGAAUCUAUUCAGUAUACAUGUAAUAUUUUAUCUCUACACUCAAGAGAUGAUUAAUAUAAUUUUUAUGAUUGCCGGAUAACUUUGUCCUUUGUCCGUGCAAUUCUAAUAAAAAAUAACACUUGCUAUUACCAAUAUAAUUGUAUGUUGGUAUGUUAGAAAAAUACCUAAAAGGCUGAGUCCUGCUAUAUUACCAAGAAAAUAAAUUACCCUUACAGAAAAUACUAAUUUCAAGUCAUAAAAAAAAUGUUUAUAUUCAGAACCUUUCCUGAAUAAAAACUAACAAUGAAAUACAGUUUAUACCUAAAUAAACUGUUUUGUUAAUUAUAAUUUCCCGACCUUUAGGAAAUUAUCCCUUAAUUGCCAAAUGUUUUCCUAUAUAAUGCUAUUUAUUUGAAAAAGACAAACGUUAACAGUAAACGUGAACUACAAUUUUAAAUUUAAAUGUACAAUAACAUUAAUCCUAACUUUAAAAGAUAACUUGAAAUAAAGCUUUGCCAGCAAUAAUACGAUAAUUAACCCAAAAGAUAUUUUAAAACAGUUUUAAGAACUUUCCUAAAUUUACUAAAAGAAUAAAAUACUUUAAGCAAAAGAUCAAAAAUGUAGGAGUCCGGCUCCUAAGAGUCCGCUAAAAAUGAAAUAUUCCUUUCUAAAUUAGAAAACGCUAAAUUUACUAUUUUCCUUUACAAUUUAACCCCAAAAAAAAUGAAGUUUGUGAGAAAAAUUAACCAUUUUGACAAAAAUUACUGAUGAGCAAAAUAAAAUACUAACUGUAACGACCAAAGAUUUAAGCAGAACUGACGAACAAGCGUCGAAAUUACGUCAAUGUUGGAUUGUUGGCAAAGUUGGAAAAUUGUUGGAUCGCGCGCUUGCUGUCCAACGAAAUAUUUGAAUUCUCAAAUAAAUUACAAAAAUCAUGAUAAUAUACAAUUUUAGUAACAGUCAUAUAAUAAACAAAUUUUGCAUGGUACUAAACAAAUUUCUAUAGUAGCUAAAAAUACACCAAUAAAACUUCACCGGAAGUCACAAUACGUAAACAACAUUGCCAAAAGUUAUGUGUGUCACCGGCUAACCAAAAUGACAAAUAUCAAGGAUAGUGAGCAUUAACAUCUGCAAAACAUUGAAGACGUUGACUACAAAUACUAAAAGGAAUUACAAAGAGUAUUUGAAAACAGUUGCCGAAACGUAAAAAUAGUGUUUUUAUUGAAAAAUCGU
Mytilus californianus (California mussel) is the source of this 6308-nucleotide long non-coding RNA. RefSeq lists it as uncharacterized. Lineage: Eukaryota; Metazoa; Mollusca; Bivalvia; Mytilida; Mytilidae. The record is from RefSeq and is a predicted model, not a curated record. The transcript is spliced from 2 exons.